CCUCUGCAGUGGCUGGGGUCCUAGACCAGGGUGGCCUGGGGACAACUUCCUGGGGACAGGCCUGGAAGGGGUGCAGGAGGAGGAGRCGCAGGCACUUCCUGUAGUCGUGCUGGUGUCCAGUCUCUUUGGCCAGCAAGACUCCUAUCCCGUGGUGCCCUGGGAAGUUGAAACAGGGAGAAGAAGAGCUGUGCCCUGCAAUCCUGCCACUCCUGUGCUAUCUUCUGUCCAUCAGCCUUUCCCGAGAAGACAGAGAGCCUGGGUCAGGAACCUCUGGGAUAGACAUGUGCUUAGAAGAGAAGAAAAGGAAGCCUGACUACAAACUGGCUGCAGAUGAGCCCACAGCUGCCCUUGGAGGCCUUUGGAAGGAAGUCCUAUGUUCCCUGUACCCAACAGGCCUCUCUGCACCAAAAUGCAAAGAAAAAGAACAAGGAGAAGAAAAAGUAAGGCAUUGAUCACAAGCAGACAGAUUGGUAACUAGAUUGAUUUGCACUUUCAGAGCCUAAGGGCAAGGGUCAUCGUCCUGCAAGAUGAUUAUUUCCCAAGAGACGGUUUGAGGACGACAGAAUGAAAGGCCUGUCAGGCGGCAGCCCUUUAAAAUAACCUGGAUUCCCCCAGAUUAGAAUCGAAUCUGCAGACUGUUCUUUGUGCUGGUCAGGACUGGAUACAUUGCACUUCUCUAAGCUCUAAUAAAGCUGUAAUAAAUCACA
RNAcentral lists this long non-coding RNA (707 nucleotides) under Urocitellus parryii (Arctic ground squirrel). Its description in RNAcentral is "lncRNA (ENSUPAG00010009909.1)". The record is from RNAcentral. Lineage: Eukaryota; Metazoa; Chordata; Mammalia; Rodentia; Sciuridae.